This 452-nucleotide ribosomal RNA is filed under the name uncultured organism. RNAcentral's name for it is "partial 16S ribosomal RNA". It matches the Rfam family "Bacterial small subunit ribosomal RNA", at positions 330 to 798 of the family's 1533-position model. The record is from RNAcentral.
CGUACACUCCUGCGGGAGGCAGCAGUGGGGAAUAUUGGACAAUGGGCGCAAGCCUGAUCCAGCCAUGCCGCGUGAGUGAUGAAGGCCCUAGGGUUGUAAAGCUCUUUCACCGGUGAAGAUAAUGACGGUAACCGGAGAAGAAGCCCCGGCUAACUUCGUGCCAGCAGCCGCGGUAAUACGAAGGGGGCUAGCGUUGUUCGGAUUUACUGGGCGUAAAGCGCACGUAGGCGGACUAUUAAGUCAGGGGUGAAAUCCCGGGGCUCAACCCCGGAACUGCCUUUGAUACUGGUAGUCUUGAGUUCGAGAGAGGUGAGUGGAAUUCCGAGUGUAGAGGUGAAAUUCGUAGAUAUUCGGAGGAACACCAGUGGCGAAGGCGGCUCACUGGCUCGAUACUGACGCUGAGGUGCGAAAGCGUGGGGAGCAAACAGGAUUAGAAACCCGGGUAGUCCCAU